AUGCUGAGGUCCUCGGGGAGGGCCGGCGCGAGCGUCUGCCAUUUGGUCACGGCGCUGGCCGCGCCCUGGUCAACGGUCUUCUGGAUGUUGGAGAACGUCACUGUCGGUGGGACCGGUACAAGCCUGAUCUUCCACGACAGCACGACGCCGAAGUUCCCGCCGCCGCCGCCGCGGAUGGCCCAGAAGAGGUCGCUCCCCAUGGCCUCCUUGUCCAGCAGCCUCCCGUUGGCGUCGACCAGCGUGGCGUCGAGGACGUUGUCGACGGAGAGGCCGUACUUGCGCAUCAUCAUACCCAUGCCGCCGCCGCUGAUGUGGCCGCCCAAGCCCAUGGUCGAGCACACGCCGGCCGGGAACGCGAGUCCGGGCGCCGCCUUGGCGACGGCGUAG
RNAcentral lists this ribosomal RNA (387 nucleotides) under Triticum aestivum (bread wheat). RNAcentral describes it as "partial small subunit ribosomal RNA". Lineage: Eukaryota; Viridiplantae; Streptophyta; Magnoliopsida; Poales; Poaceae. The record is from RNAcentral.